Molecule: ribosomal RNA, 252 nt
Filed under: uncultured bacterium
Lineage: Bacteria
Description: partial 16S ribosomal RNA
Rfam family: Bacterial small subunit ribosomal RNA
Source: RNAcentral
UACGGAGGAUGCGAGCGUUAUCCGGAUUUAUUGGGUUUAAAGGGUGCGUAGGCGGGCUUUUAAGUCAGCGGUAAAAAUUCGGGGCUCAACCCCGUCCGGCCGUUGAAACUGGGGGUCUUGAGUGGGCGAGAAGAAGGCGGAAUGCGUGGUGUAGCGGUGAAAUGCAUAGAUAUCACGCAGAACCCCGAUUGCGAAGGCAGCCUUCCGGCGCCCUACUGACGCUGAGGCACGAAAGUGCGGGGAUUGAACAGG